RNAcentral lists this ribosomal RNA (523 nucleotides) under uncultured bacterium. RNAcentral's name for it is "partial 16S ribosomal RNA". It matches the Rfam family "Bacterial small subunit ribosomal RNA", at positions 28 to 523 of the family's 1533-position model. The record is from RNAcentral.
GACGAACGCUGGCGGCGUGCCUAAUACAUGCAAGUCGAACGCAUUUUCUUUCACCGUAGCUUGCUACACCGAAAGAAAAUGAGUGGCGAACGGGUGAGUAACACGUGGGUAACCUGCCCAUCAGCGGGGGAUAACACUUGGAAACAGGUGCUAAUACCGCAUAAUUCCAUUUACCGCAUGGUAGAUAGAUGAAAGGCGCUUUUGCGUCACUGAUGGAUGGACCCGCGGUGCAUUAGCUAGUUGGUGGGGUAACGGCCUACCAAGGCUGCGAUGAAUAGCCGACCUGAGAGGGUGAUCGGCCACACUGGGACUGAGACACGGCCCAGACUCCUACGGGAGGCAGCAGUAGGGAAUCUUCGGCAAUGGACGCAAGUCUGACCGAGCAACGCCGCGUGAGUGAAGAAGGUUUUCGGAUCGUAAAACUCUGUUGUUAGAGAAGAGCAAGGAUGAGAGUGGAAAGUUCAUCCCUUGACGGUAUCUAACCAGAAAGCCACGGCUAACUACGUGCCAGCAGCCGCAGUAA